Molecule: ribosomal RNA, 497 nt
Filed under: uncultured Roseobacter sp.
Lineage: Bacteria; Pseudomonadati; Pseudomonadota; Alphaproteobacteria; Rhodobacterales; Roseobacteraceae
Description: bacterial SSU rRNA
Rfam family: Bacterial small subunit ribosomal RNA
Source: RNAcentral
AUGGGAGACAGCAGUGGGGAAUCUUAGACAAUGGGCGCAAGCCUGAUCUAGCCAUGCCGCGUGAGUGAUGAAGGCCUUAGGGUCGUAAAGCUCUUUCGCCUGUGAUGAUAAUGACAGUAGCAGGUAAAGAAACCCCGGCUAACUCCGUGCCAGCAGCCGCGGUAAUUCGGAGGGGGUUAGCGUUGUUCGGAAUUACUGGGCGUAAAGCGCACGUAGGCGGAUUGGAAAGUUGGGGGUGAAAUCCCGGGGCUCAACCCCGGAACUGCCUCCAAAACUAUCAGUCUAGAGUUCGAGAGAGGUGAGUGGAAUUCCAAGUGUAGAGGUGAAAUUCGUAGAUAUUUGGAGGAACACCAGUGGCGAAGGCGGCUCACUGGCUCGAUACUGACGCUGAGGUGCGAAAGUGUGGGGAGCAAACAGGAUUAGAUACCCUGGUAGUCCACACCGUAAACGAUGAAUGCCAGUCGUCGGGCAGUAUACUGAUUGAUGACACACCUCGC